GGGGAUUUAGCUCAGCAGUAGAGCGCUUGCCUAGCAAGCACAAAGCCCUGGGUUCAGUCCCCAGCUCCG
This 69-nucleotide transfer RNA is filed under the name Rattus norvegicus (Norway rat). It matches the Rfam family "tRNA". Rfam says of the family: Transfer RNA (tRNA) molecules are approximately 80 nucleotides in length. Their secondary structure includes four short double-helical elements and three loops (D, anti-codon, and T loops). Lineage: Eukaryota; Metazoa; Chordata; Mammalia; Rodentia; Muridae. The record is from Rfam by way of RNAcentral.